UUCAUUCCCACAUGCCCUUGGAUAACAGGGCAAUGUAACGGAGAUGUUUUUCUUGCCCUGUCAAAUACCUGACAGGGUGUUGUAAAGCUGGUUAAUUUGUAUGGGUGCUGUGCUUGGGAUGAAUGCUGUUACCUACAACAGAGUGAAUGGUCCUUUGCUCUUCUGUCAAAGGCCUCGGUGGGACAUUGGAGUCACCUUUUUAAAAGUUCCUAUGUGAUUUAGGAUUCCUUCACAUGGAGAUUUCUGAGACUUCUGCCAGCCGUGUACAUCCCUCCGUGGAGAUCCCGUGAAAACUCAUCUUCUACAUUUUCCCACUGAAAACUCAUCUUGGUUCAGGGAGCUGGGAGCUCCCAGCUAGCCCAUGGGAAUAUGGAGCUUUUGCUGCCCCGGUGUGGGCACUGUAACCUUACAGACAUCUCGUGCUGCAUCCUUGUAGGCAUUCAGAGACUAACAUGUUUGUUCUUGCUUUUGCAGACUGCUCUGACAAGGAGAGUCCCCCAGACAGCCAUCCCACCUUGUCCUCAUGUUGCUGCUGGCUCCUCAGGCACAUGCUGCCUUCCUGGGAGAAUGCUGCAGCUCCUUCCCAAGCCCCCACGUGCUGUGUCUGCACCUCCAGCCAGACCAUCUUGGCUAGUGUCUGGGCCUAACCUGCAGCUGUUGGCGCUGCCACAUGGAGCUGGAGCUGGAGCAGAGUCUCCAGGAGGACAGGGAGGUCACGUAGUACAACAAACUGUCAUGGAGCCAGGUCCCAGAUGGGAGAACAGCCAUAAACCAGAAAAUGUAAGUGAUUGA
Molecule: long non-coding RNA, 792 nt
Filed under: Anas platyrhynchos platyrhynchos (common mallard)
Lineage: Eukaryota; Metazoa; Chordata; Aves; Anseriformes; Anatidae
Description: lncRNA (ENSAPLG00000017248.1)
Source: RNAcentral